GGAUGUGAGCAGGCGAUCUGGUUGCAACAUCUGUCUCCCCAGUGAUUGCCAGGGUUGAUUCAGCUGAUCUGGUGGGGCGGUAUCCACUUCCUCCCUCACUGCUCCACGAGUGUCCCUCCUGAUGACUGAAGAGAACCAUUCACCUUUGAUAGAGGAAGACUGUUUCCUUGAUCAAGGGCAUAUGAGUAUAGUAGAUGUCCUUUCGUGAUAGAACCUCCAAAUAAGCUUUCAAGAGUACAAAAAUAAAUGCUGGGGAAAAAAAAUGCUGGGGCUGGUGGUGUAUGUUUGUAAUACCAGCACUU
Unclassified non-coding RNA from Octodon degus (degu), 302 nucleotides. Its record names the gene 7SK. It matches the Rfam family "7SK RNA". Rfam says of the family: 7SK was discovered as an abundant small nuclear RNA in the mid-70s but a possible function has only recently been suggested. The record is from Ensembl. NCBI's taxonomy places the organism in Eukaryota, Metazoa, Chordata, Mammalia, Rodentia, Octodontidae.